UACGGAAGGCAGCAGUGGGGAAUAUUGCACAAUGGGCGCAAGCCUGAUGCAGCCAUGCCGCGUGUAUGAAGAAGGCCUUCGGGUUGUAAAGUACUUUCAGUCGUGAGGAAGGUGUUAAGGUUAAUAACCUUAGCAAUUGACGUUAGCGACAGAAGAAGCACCGGCUAACUCCGUGCCAGCAGCCGCGGUAAUACGGAGGGUGCAAGCGUUAAUCAGAAUUACUGGGCGUAAAGAGCGCGUAGGUGGUUUUUUUAAAGUCAGAUGUGAAAUCCCUAGGCUUAACCUGGAACUGCAUUUGAAACUGAAAAACUGAGUAUCGUAGAGGAGGUAGAAUUCUAGGUGUAGCGGUGAAAUGCGUAGAUAUCUGGAGGAAUACCUGUGGCGAAAGCGGCCUCCUAAACGGAUACUGACACUGAGUGCGAAAGCGUGGGGAGCAAACAGGAUUAGAUAC
RNAcentral lists this ribosomal RNA (451 nucleotides) under uncultured bacterium. RNAcentral describes it as "bacterial SSU rRNA". It matches the Rfam family "Bacterial small subunit ribosomal RNA", at positions 340 to 785 of the family's 1533-position model. The record is from RNAcentral.